Molecule: non-coding RNA, 4258 nt
Organism: Callorhinus ursinus (northern fur seal)
Lineage: Eukaryota; Metazoa; Chordata; Mammalia; Carnivora; Otariidae
Source: RefSeq, a predicted model, not a curated record
CUUCCGGAAGCGGAGCGCCGGACCCACAACGGCUGGGUGUGCAAAGCGGCGGUGGCGGGCGCGGCGGAAAGGAGGAGACCUGAAGGGGACCCGGGCCUGCCUCCCGCGCCGGGGUGGAGCACCAUGGACGAAGCAGGCAGCUGUGCGAGCGGCGGAGGCUUCCGGCCGGGCGUGGACAGCCUGGACGAGCCCCCCAACAGCCGCAUCUUUCUGGUGAUCAGCAAGUACACUCCCGAGUCGGUGCUGAGGGAGCGCUUCUCGCCCUUCGGCGAGAUCCAGGACAUCUGGGUGGUGCGGGACAAGCACACCAAGGAGUCCAAGGGCAUCGCCUUCGUCAAGUUUGCCCGCAGCUCGCAGGCCUGCAGGGCCAUGGAGGAGAUGCACGGCCAAUGCCUCAGCCCCAAUGACACCAAGCCCAUCAAGGUGCAGGUUUUCAUUGCUCAGUCCCGAUCAUCUGGAAGUCACCGCGAUGUUGAAGAUGAAGAACUUACGAGAAUAUUUGUUAUGAUACCAAAGUCCUACACAGAAGAAGAUCUGCGGGAAAAAUUUAAGGUGUAUGGAGAUAUCGAGUAUUGCAGCAUUAUUAAGAAUAAAGUAACUGGAGAAAGUAAAGGUUUGGGUUAUGUUCGAUACUUAAAACCAUCACAAGCUGCCCAAGCAAUAGAAAACUGUGAUCGAAGUUUUAGGGCAAUCUUGGCUGAACCUAAAAAUAAAGCAUCUGAAUCCUCGGAACAAGACUAUUAUAGUAACAUGAGGCAGGAGACAUUGGGACAUGAACCUAGAGUUAAUAUGUUUCCAUUUGUUGGAGAACAACAAUCUGAGUAUUCAAGUUUUGACAAGAAUGACAACAGAGGCCAAGAAGCUAUCUCCAAACGCCUGUCAGUUGUAUCAAGAGUUCCUUUCACUGAAGAGCAGCUUUUCAGUAUUUUUGAUAUAGUACCAGGAUUGGAAUACUGCGAGGUUCAACGAGAUCCUUAUUCUAAUUAUGGUCAUGGAGUGGUUCAGUAUUUCAACGUAGCAUCAGCUAUUUAUGCAAAAUACAAGUUACAUGGGUUUCAGUACCCUCCUGGGAAUCGGAUAGGUGUUUCCUUCAUUGAUGAUGGGAGUAACGCAACAGAUCUUCUCAGAAAAAUGGCAACGCAGAUGGUAGCAGCACAGCUUGCAUCAAUGGUGUGGAAUAACCCAAGUCAGCAGCAAUUUCUGCAAUUUGGAGGAAAUUCUGGAUCACAGUUGCCUCAAAUCCAGACAGAUGUUGUACUUCCAUCGUGCAAAAAAAAAGCCCCUCCUGAAACUCCUGUGAAAGAAAGACUUUUUAUCGUGUUUAAUCCUCAUCCUUUACCUUUAGAUGUAUUAGAGGAUAUAUUCUGUCGUUUUGGUAACCUGAUCGAAGUUUACCUUGUGUCAGGAAAAAACGUGGGGUAUGCCAAAUAUGCAGAUAGAAUAAGCGCAAAUGAUGCCAUUACUACUUUACAUGGGAAGAUCCUAAAUGGAGUCAGACUUAAAGUUAUGCUGGCGGAUUCCCCAAGAGAAGAAUCUAACAAACGACAAAGAACUUACUGAUUCUUGAGAAAUUCAGUACCUGCUUGCAUCAUCCUUCUGAAAACAGUAACUCAAGGACACAUGGAUCCUGGGAACUGAAGACUUGAGAAGCACAUUAUUCCUCUGGUUUUUAAGUUUUUCCAUGCAGCCUGGAAAAAGUGAGUACACACAUCCAUUUUGCAUAAAUAACAUUACCCUGAUAACAAAACUUAAAAGGCAGUUAAAAUGAAAGCUAUAUAUUCUUAGUUUACCCAUGAAUAUGGAUGUAAACAAAUCUAAAUAAGGUAUUAGAAAGUGCAAAUAAUAUGUUCAAAGAACAAUUAACCAUGCCUAGUAGGGGGCUUAUCCUUUGAUGAAAGAGCAAUUCACAUUAAGAAAAAUUAUUACUGUAAUACUUAUCUUCAUAGGACCAUAAUGAGAUCUGCAAGUUGAUUACUUAUCCAUUCUUGUGAUUGUGUAAGUGCCAUGGACAGUUAGAUUAUGUUUGGUUUCCUUGAAACAGUCACUAGCUGGAGAAAUGGGAUUAGCCUGACAUCUGUAAGUGAAGCAAUGUCUAACCCUCCCCUCUAACUACAUGAUUGCUAUAUAAUGGAGAAACAAAGUAUGGAUGGGUAUCGGUGAGAGAACCAAAAUGUCUAAAACAGCUUCUUAGAAAAAUAGCUCAAUUUAUUGAGCCCUUACUAUUUGCCAGGCAUUAGGCUAAUUGCUUUACAUCUCAAAACCUAUGAAGUAUUGUUCUUGUUUUAUCAAAAGGAAGCUAAGGUGCUCUGAGAGGUGAAGUAAUUUGCCCAAGAUCACACAGCCAGCAAAGGGGGAAGCAGCACUUUGGACACAGUCUUCACUGAAACCCAUAUUCUUAACCAGUACACUAGAUAUCAACAGCUGUAACAAUUCAGAAACUACCAUACGCACCAAUUGAAUAUUAUACAACAACAGAUCCUUCCAGAACUAUGGAAUAGCAUGGGAAUAAUGCUUACUAUUUAGUGAAGACAAACAGUAUACAAAAUUGCAUAUAGUGUGGUUUUUAAAUUUUUAAGCUAGGGUGAGUUUGAGAUGAAGCCAAUGUGUGUGUGCUUUUCACCAUUUUCCAUUUUUCCUUGGUGAACAUGUAUAAUUUUUAAAAAUCUAAAAAAUAUACUGUAUCCCCUGCAAGACUGAACGCUUUCUGUAAGUAAAGCCUGUUUAUUUUUGUAACCUCCAACUCAGCUAUGCACUUUACACAUAAUGGGCACAAAAUGGUUAUCUAUUUGGACUACAACAUAGAGGGUCCUAUAUAUGUCUCUUACUACAGAGAUGCUGUAAACAAAUCUAAGUUUUCUAUAAAUAUCCUAGUGAUUGUUCAGAUGCCAUUUUUUCAAAAUGAGACCCUACUUACUAGGCUGAUUCUUAAAGAUUCUAAUUUUAAUUUCAAUUUUAUGUUUCUGGUGUUUUUUAUAAAUGUAUUAGUGGCUAAAUCACAGUCCACAUACAAAUCUUGGUGAUAUUUUAAAAUAAUAGGUAACAUUUAUUGAACUCUUGCUAAGUCAAUACUGUCCUAGGCACUUUAAGACAUUUUCCCAUUUAGCAGUCCCAACAGUUCCAUGGAAUUAAAACUGUGAGACACAGAGACGUUAAAUGACUUCUGCCAGGACACGCAGCAAGUAAAUAAUGGAGCUGAUAGUCACACUCAGGAAGUAUGACUCCAUGUCUUUGCUUAAGUUCACACACUGUAAUUCAAGUGCUGUUCUUUGUUUAAGAAUGAAGUAUAAAAUCUUUUGUCACAAAAAUAAAGCAUGUGAUGGAGAGAUUAUUUUAUUUCAUUUUGUGGCCCCUUGAGAGAGUGGGGUGAUAGAAAAGGAGAGAAAAGUAUAAUUGAGAUGAGAGGAAGUGAAGAAAGCAAAAGAGAGAGGGACUACAGAUGGCAGAAAAAGGAAUGAUGACUCAGUGGCUUUGGGGUGAAAGCAUUGCUCCCUUUUUUACUUUGGCUGCACAAGCUUAGCUAGCGACCAUAUUGAGCACCUAUGUACUGAGUGCUCAGGGACACAGUGGUGAGAAGAAGAAAAAAAAUAGCUUCCUUGCCCUUAUGUAUAUAGUCUAAUUCUUAUGUAGUUUGAAGAAAUAGUGUACUGUAGGGCCAGCUGCCACUUGGGUAGAGCAGGCUGGCUCCUCCCAAACCUCUUUCAAAGGAUUCACCCAAACAAAAGAAUUCCCUAUUACUGUCCCACUUGUUUUGUGCACACCUAAUUCUUUUUGUUUGUUUUACAGGUCUUUUUGUUCUGUUUUAUUUUUGAGGUAAAAAUUAUAGUGCAGUGUGCAAAUAAUAAGUAUAAGGUUCAAUAAAUUUUGACAAAUGCAUACGCUCUUGUAACUGCUGGAGACAGUUUCCACAUGUCUUGCAAGCAGAGGCAACGUCUCUCUUUUCAGGAAUGUUUUUAUAGUGAACAGUCUUGAAAGGUAAUGUCCCCUCUGGAGCAAAAGGCAGGUUUGUUUACUGUCCAGUAUGAUAAAGAUAAUGUCUUCUUCCAGAGCAAAGGACAGGUACACUUACUGGCCUUUCUAAAAGAUUCAGGUUCCUGAAGGUUGAAGAUCUUCAGUUCUGACACAAGCUUACUGCAUACACAGCACCAAUCUGGGCCCCUCUUUGUUACCUGUUUAAGACUUAGGGGACAAGAGGAACCAAUGCAAACAUGAUGCUCAAACUGCUUAUUGUGCUGUGGAUAAUAAAGUUCUUUGUCUCUGA